This 30-nucleotide small RNA is filed under the name Bombyx mori (domestic silkworm). RNAcentral describes it as "ovarian small RNA-26837". Lineage: Eukaryota; Metazoa; Arthropoda; Insecta; Lepidoptera; Bombycidae. The record is from RNAcentral.
UCCAGGCUUGGCCGGAACAGUAGCCGAGGC